RNAcentral lists this ribosomal RNA (807 nucleotides) under Triticum aestivum (bread wheat). RNAcentral describes it as "partial small subunit ribosomal RNA". Lineage: Eukaryota; Viridiplantae; Streptophyta; Magnoliopsida; Poales; Poaceae. The record is from RNAcentral.
AUGGUGCAGUUCCUGGCCGCAGUGGCGGAGCUGGCGCGGGGAAUGGCAGCGCCCACGGUGAGGCCGGUGUGGGGACACGAUCUGCUGAUGACCACGCGCGACGAUCCGGCGCCGCCUAGAGUAUUCACCCACCGGGAGUACGAUGACGUGCCGGAUAGCAACGACACCAGCGUGCCCCUCUACUCCAUGACGCAACACUCCUUCUUCGGGCGUCGGGAGGUCGCGGCCAUCCGCACCCACCUCCUGCCUGCUCUCCGCCGCCGCGCCACCACCUUCGAGGUCCUCACGGGAUGUCUGUGGAGGUGCCGCACGAUGGCGCUGGCCCCCGUUGCGGACGAGGAGAUGUGGAUGAUCUGCCUCGUAAGCAUUCGCGGCCAGAAGCAGCAGAGCAGCGGCACCCCAUUCAUCCCCGUUGGCUACUACGGCAAUGCAUUCGCGUUCCCGGUCGCCAUCUCCACAGCCGGUGACCUCUGCACCAAUCCGGUGAGCUACGCCGUGGAGCUGAUGAUGAAGACCAAGAGGGAGGUGGAUGUGGAGUAUGUGAGGUCGGUAGCGCGCCUCAUGGCCGGGUUCCGUGAUGUCGACUUUGGGUGGGGCACACCGGUGUAUGCCGGACUAGCCAAGGGCGGCAUCCGCGAUAUCCCUGGGGUCGCCAGCUCCCUUAUUGCCGUCAAGAAUGCCAAUGGUGAGGAAGGUCUUGCGGCGCCCAUGUGCCUGCCUCGCCCCGUCAUGGCAAAGUUUGUGGAGGAGAUGAGAAGGCUGAUGCGUCCGGCCGACAUGGUUCCCGUGAUCAAAUCUGCUAUCUGA